This 77-nucleotide transfer RNA is filed under the name Thiomonas islandica. RNAcentral describes it as "tRNA-Arg". It matches the Rfam family "tRNA". Rfam says of the family: Transfer RNA (tRNA) molecules are approximately 80 nucleotides in length. Lineage: Bacteria; Pseudomonadati; Pseudomonadota; Betaproteobacteria; Burkholderiales. The record is from RNAcentral. RNAcentral also lists the same sequence under 6 other names.
CUGCCCGUAGCUCAGCUGGAUAGAGCAACGGCCUUCUAAGCCGUAGGUCACUGGUUCGAAUCCAGUCGGGCAGGCCA